RNAcentral lists this ribosomal RNA (588 nucleotides) under uncultured bacterium. Its description in RNAcentral is "bacterial SSU rRNA". It matches the Rfam family "Bacterial small subunit ribosomal RNA", at positions 102 to 666 of the family's 1533-position model. The record is from RNAcentral.
ACGGGUGCGUAACACGUGGGUAAUCUGCCCUGGAGCCCGGAAUAACUCGCCGAAAGGCGUGCUAAUGCCGGAUAAGACCACGGGAACUUCGGUUCCUGCGGGAAAAGGUGGCCUCUGUAUACAAGCUAUCUCUUCAGGAUGAGCCCGCGGCCCAUCAGCUAGUUGGCGGGGUAAUGGCCCACCAAGGCUACGACGGGUAGCUGGUCUAAGAGGACGAUCAGCCACACUGGAACUGAGACACGGUCCAGACUCCUACGGGAGGCAGCAGUGGGGAAUCUUGCGCAAUGGGCGAAAGCCUGACGCAGCAACGCCGCGUGUGCGAUGAAGGUCUUCGGAUCGUAAAGCACUGUCGGGAGGGACGAAUAAGGUGCCGGCUAACACUCGGCGCCGAUGACGGUACCUCCAAAGGAAGCACCGGCUAACUCUGUGCCAGCAGCCGCGGUAAUACAGAGGGUGCAAGCGUUGUUCGGAAUUAUUGGGCGUAAAGCGCGUGUAGGCGGUUCAGCAAGUCGGAUGUGAAAGCCCUCGGCUUAACCGAGGAAGGGCGUUCGAAACUACUGAACUUGAGUGCCGGAGAGGGUGGCGGAA